AUGUUGAAGCAAGCAUUCUCUCAGUCAUUGGAAUUAUGGCAUAUUACUGUUCUUGGUAGUACUUUGAAGACAAGUACAAUUACUCGUCCUCUAGUCUUGCUUCAUUGGGAUCCAGGUGUGGGCUUCAUAAAUGACAGUUGGCUAUGCUGGAAAUAUUUCUCCUUGAAAGACAAUUUCAGCUGGCCUCAGUUUGUUACAAGAAAUUUGUGUGUAACAUCACAAUGGAACCAUGGUCUGCUCAGCUUGAUCACUCUUGCAGGGUGGGAGUUCACAAGUAGAUACAUGUCGAUUACCUACAGUAAGCUUGUUCAGGUUACUGGUCUCUCUCUUCACCUUAUAAUCCACCUGCCACAACUGAUUGUAUAUGGACCAAUGACAGGGGAAAAAUAG
This 390-nucleotide ribosomal RNA is filed under the name Triticum aestivum (bread wheat). Its description in RNAcentral is "partial small subunit ribosomal RNA". Lineage: Eukaryota; Viridiplantae; Streptophyta; Magnoliopsida; Poales; Poaceae. The record is from RNAcentral.